AGUGGAAUUUCUGGCUUACGUAGAAAGUACAUGUUUAACAUUUUGAAAAAUUGCCAAACUGUUCUCCAAAGUGGCUAUAUCAUUUUAAUUUCCAUCAGCAAU
This 102-nucleotide microRNA precursor is filed under the name Marmota monax (woodchuck). The record is from RNAcentral. Lineage: Eukaryota; Metazoa; Chordata; Mammalia; Rodentia; Sciuridae.